GUAAUCAAAACAAGGACGAAACACAGUGGCGCAAAUAAAGCGGCUGUGAAGAGACCUCUGAAGUCCCAGCAAUAGAGAACUCGAAAAUGACAACGCUUCGAGAUUUGGGAAUAUCAGUACGUUUCAUCAUCGUACUCUGCUCAGCCCAGCAUUCAGAACAGCAUUCAGAACAGCCAGAGACUCGGCAGGUGAAAGGCAUCGUGGGAACGUUUUUCUCUUUUCCAGAAAGGGUGUUGACAUCUGGCAAUUUACUUUAUGGAGACCUUGGCAAUAUUGCACAUGUGUACCCUGGUAAACAAAGUAAUACAAACCUUGAGAAGAGAUAUAAAAACCACCUUCACUGGAACAAUGUUACUGGAUUCUUCACUUUGUCAGACCUACAAAUAGACGAUUCUGGGGUUUAUACUGUGGAGAAUGGAGAUGCUGAAGAGAAGAUGAGACAUACAUUUCAGCUGACUGUGUACUAUGUUCUGUCAAAACCUCAGGUGACUGUUCAUGAGAACAUCUCCUGUAGUGUUGUGUGUUCUGUGGAGAACGGGAGAGAGGUGACCCUGUCCUGGUACAAAGGAGGGGAGAUACUCAACCAGACCAGCAGCCCUGACCACAUCACCCUCUCUCUACCUCUCAAGGUGGAUGAACAGAACAGAGACUCUUACAGAUGUGAGGCUGCCAACCCAGUCAGCAAGGGGACAGCUGUUGUUCCACAUUCCUGUAUAGAGAGUGAUCCCUCUAAGGUGACAGGUAAACACAUGUACAGUAUUAAUGUUACAUUGCAGACAUCCAGACAAUACCAACUUCUAUAUGAAACAAUAAGUAUGGUAGAGCUCAUUUUAUGAAAUGCAAUGUUUUAAUUAAAAUAUUGUUUUCUCUCUUUUUAUAUUAGAUGGUGAUGUGAGGACUCUUAUUGCUGUAAUCUGCGUUUUGUUGGCUUCAGGACUUGUUGGACUUGCAAUAUAUCUUACAUUGAGAUGCAUACGCUCACGUGCAGGUAUUUAGCUUUUAAAGGGGUGAGGUCAUUCUCCUUGUCAAAGUCAAAACAUGUUGUGCACAACCUUUAUUAAUGACCAUUGAUAGUGUUUUUAUAAAUGUAGGAAAUGUUUGCCUGAACAACGGAUGCAGGUCAAAUGAAGUGGUGUAUUAAGGGAAUUUUUACCUAUGACUAAUUAUGUAUAUUUCAAUCAGGCCUGAUGAGUCAGAAUACUAUUAUGUUACUGUACAUGUAUGAAUUUUCUUGAUCCCAGUACUGAAUAUAAUGUGAUCAAGAGUUUAGAACAUUGACGGUCUGUUCCUUGGUACAAAUGAAGAACUAUAUCUCCAGACUGACUAGAAUGCUUAUCUACACUGGCUGACCUUGGCUCUAGGCAAGGAGGGAAGGCUUGAACUAUAGAGCCUUUCUACCAGGGUCAAGAAGAGACGGAACAUUUAGAAAAUGCUGACGUCAUUUUCAGUUUACAACCUGUGGUAAAAUGUGUAAGUACUCAGUACUCUCGAGAAUAAACUCUGCUGUUUUGAUUUUGAGACUGGGCUCUGUCUAUUAUUAUAGAAUAAGGGUCUUACAAGUCCUUAUGAAUGGACAGUGUUUAAUUUUAAUUGGAUAUUAAAACAGAGUAAUUUAAUUCCUUUAACAAUUAUCUUCCACACUUCCUCUGCUUGGUCAGACAGUUGCAUUAUCUCAGACCACUUCUCUAAAUGUUGAAAAAAGCAGAAGGCACACACAAGCACAGUCUUACAAUUAUUUCGUAGGUUCUCUGGUGCCAAAACCACUGCUAGUACAGGUACCCAUAGUAACAUGAUUCUUUAGUGUUUUCAGAACCUGUCUUGGGGAUGAGCAUUUGUGCAUAUCUGUUAGUAACUCCCACCCACACUGUGUAUUUAAUUGACUUUAUUUGCUUUUAUGGAUUCACCUGAAAGAAAGCAAGAUGAUGUUCAGUAUGCAGAGAUAACUCACAUUAAACCAGCAGAAAACCAGGUUAGUAAUAAUUCUACAGGCUGAUAAACAUAGGAGAUGUAAUACAGCUGCUUUAUCAGCCCUCAUGUCUACAACUGUUGGCUUUAUCUCUGUGUCAGUGGGUUCAUGUGGUAUUGAGUUGCACAGACCACCUGAGUUUGAUAACCGGCCUGAUGUCAUUGCAACCAGUUUUGCCCAAAUGAAAUGUUUGGGUUGCACAAUGAGACGCCACACUGCAUAUUGUACAUACAGCACCAGUCAAACGUUUGGACACACCUACCCAUUCAACUGGAAUCACAACUGCAGACCACAUGUAACCA
Oncorhynchus kisutch (coho salmon) is the source of this 2268-nucleotide long non-coding RNA. The record is from Ensembl. NCBI's taxonomy places the organism in Eukaryota, Metazoa, Chordata, Actinopteri, Salmoniformes, Salmonidae.